UACGGAGGGUGCAAGCGUUAAUCGGAAUUACUGGGCGUAAAGGGUGCGUAGGUGGUUGAUUAAGUUAUCUGUGAAAUUCCUGGGCUUAACCUAGGGUGGUCAGAUAAGACUGGUUGACUUGAGUACGGGAGAGGGUAGUGGAAUUUCCGGUGUAGCGGUGAAAUGCGUAGAGAUCGGAAGGAACACCAGUGGCGAAGGCGGCUACCUGGCCUGAUACUGACACUGAGGCACGAAAGCGUGGGGAGCAAACAGG
This 253-nucleotide unclassified non-coding RNA is filed under the name uncultured Legionellaceae bacterium. RNAcentral's name for it is "contains 16S-23S intergenic spacer region". It matches the Rfam family "Bacterial small subunit ribosomal RNA", at positions 524 to 776 of the family's 1533-position model. The record is from RNAcentral. Lineage: Bacteria; Pseudomonadati; Pseudomonadota; Gammaproteobacteria; Legionellales; Legionellaceae.